UUUAAUGGCCGCAGUAAUUUAACUGUGCGAAGGUAGCAUAAUCAAUAGUUUUUUAAUUGAAAGCUUGUAUGAAAGGUUGGACGAGAUAAUAUCUGUCUUUAUUAUAAUUAUUAUAGAAUUUAAUUUUUAAGUUAAAAAGCUUAAAUUUUUUUAAAAGACGAGAAGACCCUAUAGAGUUUUAUAAUUUAAAAUUUAUAAUUAUUUUAGAUUAUUUAAUUUUAUAAAUUUAUAUUUAUUUUAUUGGGGUAAUAGAAAGAUUAAUAUAAUUCUUUUUUAUUUAUUUAUUUAUUUAUAUAUUUAUGAUCCUUUUUUAGAGAUUAUAAGAUUAAAUUACCUUAGGGAUAACAGCGUAAUUUUUUUUGAAAGUUCUUAUUGAUAAAAAAGAUUGCGACCUCGAUGUUGGAUUAAAGAUUAGUUUAGGUGCAAAAGUUUAAAUUUUUGGUCUGUUCGACCAUUAAAUCUUUACAUGAUCUGAGUUCAGACCGGUGUGAGCCAGGUCGGUUUUUAUCUUUAUUUAUAUAUAAUAUUUUAGUACGAAAGGACCAAAUAUUAAUUAUAUUAAUUAUUAUUUUGAAUAUUAUU
This 582-nucleotide ribosomal RNA is filed under the name Microcharidius sp. 18 aff. toletanus CA-2017. RNAcentral's name for it is "partial large subunit ribosomal RNA". The stretch from base 341 to 499 matches the Rfam family "Bacterial large subunit ribosomal RNA", at positions 2473 to 2632 of the family's 2925-position model. The record is from RNAcentral. Lineage: Eukaryota; Metazoa; Arthropoda; Insecta; Coleoptera; Carabidae.